AUUGAACGCUGGCGGCAUGCUUUACACAUGCAAGUCGAACGGUAACAGGGUGCUUGCACCGCUGACGAGUGGCGAACGGGUGAGUAAUGCGUCGGAACGUGCCGAGUAGUGGGGGAUAACGCAGCGAAAGUUGUGCUAAUACCGCAUACGUACUGAGGUAGAAAGUGGGGGACCUUCGGGCCUCACGCUAUUCGAGCGGCCGGCGUCUGAUUAGCUAGUAGGUGAGGUAAAGGCUCACCUAGGCGACGAUCAGUAGCGGGUCUGAGAGGAUGAUCGGCCAAACGGGGACUGAGACACGGCCCAGACUCCUACGGGAGGCAGCAGUGGGGAAUUUUGGACAAUGGGCGAAAGCCUGAUCCAGCCAUGCCGCGUGUCUGAAGAAGGCCUUCGGGUUGUAAAGGACUUUUGUCAGGGAGGAAAUCCCUAGUGCUAAUAACACUGGGGGAUGACAGUACCUGAAGAAUAAGCACCGGCUAACUACGUGCCAGCCGCCGCCGUAA
Molecule: ribosomal RNA, 500 nt
Filed under: uncultured bacterium
Lineage: Bacteria
Description: partial 16S ribosomal RNA
Rfam family: Bacterial small subunit ribosomal RNA
Source: RNAcentral